AUGGUCUUGUACUUUCUUGGUUGCUGCCUAGAAAAUGGGAUUCUAAGUCUCCUAGCCUCAACCAAUGGUCUUGUCUGCAUCCUCUAUACUCCAAUUUAUUUUAUGUUCCACUCACGAGCGCCCAUCUUGUUCAUAGCUAACCCAACAACGCAAAAAGCCCAACUGAUCCUUGGUACAACUAAACACAUCGCAAGGUUUAAUAAAGGCAUCGGCCUCGCGUUCGACCUAGAGAAUACAGUUAGCAAGUUCAAGAUAGUCAAUGCAGUUGGUGCUAGGACCAUUGAGGAUAAUAGGACUAAGUUAUGCUUUGCUACCUUCUCCUCAAAUACAAGUUGCUGGGCCAUGUCCAGUACGACGGUUUAUGUGCACACCAAAAUUAACUGCAACAACAAGAAGAUGGCCUAUGGAAGUGGAAUCAUGUACUGGGAUUACUAGGAGAUUGUGC
This 445-nucleotide long non-coding RNA is filed under the name Oryza sativa Indica Group (long-grained rice). RNAcentral describes it as "lncRNA OsZS97_12G009090". Lineage: Eukaryota; Viridiplantae; Streptophyta; Magnoliopsida; Poales; Poaceae. The record is from RNAcentral.